This 294-nucleotide ribosomal RNA is filed under the name Triticum aestivum (bread wheat). RNAcentral's name for it is "partial small subunit ribosomal RNA". The record is from RNAcentral. Lineage: Eukaryota; Viridiplantae; Streptophyta; Magnoliopsida; Poales; Poaceae.
AUGUUCCAAAAAUGUACAGGACAACUCUUGAGCAGCAGCAAGUGCUCAAUCCUUUUCAGUGAGCACUGCCCGGUAAAUGUUCAGAAUGAAAUCAAGGGCAUUCUGGCGUGCGAGACGUCCACAUUCGAGAGUAAAUAUCUGGGGCUCCCAACUCCGGACGGACGAAUGAAAGACAAACACUUCCAGCCUAUCAUGGAUAGAUUUCGAAAAAGAUGCAAUGUCUUUUGCUGCAAAGGAGGUAAAUGUCAAGGCCAUUGUACAAGCAUUGCAAACUUUUGUCAUGGGAGUCUUUAA